CUGGUAGGAGAAGGCUCUGGAAAGUGCCGCCAUAGUGGGUGAUAGCCCCGUAUCCGAAACCUGAGUCUAGUGAAAACGAGUAGGACGGGACACGUGAUAUCCUGUCUGAACAUGGGGGGACCAUCCUCCAAGGCUAAAUACUCCUGACUGACCGAUAGUGAACCAGUACCGUGAGGGAAAGGCGAAAAGAACCCCUGUGAGGGGAGUGAAAUAGAUCCUGAAACCGUAUGCGUACAAGCAGUCGGAGCAGACUUGUUCUGUGACGGCGUACCUUUUGUAUAAUGGGUCAGCGACUUAUGUUCAGUGGCGAGGUUAACCGUAUAGGGGAGCCGUAGGGAAACCGAGUCUGAAUAGGGCGAUUUAGUCGCUGGGCAUAGACCCGAAACCGGGCGAUCUAUCCAUGAGCAGGUUGAAGGUUGAGUAACAUCAACUGGAGGACCGAACCCACUGUCGUUGAAAAGCCAGGGGAUGACUUGUGGAUCGGAGUGAAAGGCUAAUCAAGCCCGGAGAUAGCUGGUUCUCCCCGAAAGCUAUUUAGGUAGCGCCUCGGACGAAUACCACAGGGGGUAGAGCACUGUUUCGGCUAGGGGGUCAUCCCGACUUACCAACCCGAUGCAAACUCCGAAUACCUGUGAGUACUAUCCGGGAGACACACGGCGGGUGCUAACGUCCGUCGUGAAGAGGGAAACAACCCAGACCGCCAGCUAAGGUCCCCAAAUUCCAGUUAAGUGGGAAACGAUGUGGGAAGGCUCAGACAGCUAGGAGGUUGGCUUAGAAGCAGCCAUCCUUUAAAGAAAGCGUAAUAGCUCACUAGUCGAGUCGGCCUGCGCGGAAGAUGUAACGGGGCUCAAACUGGAUACCGAAGCUGCGGCUGCAUACUUUGUAUGCGGGGUAGGGGAGCGUUCUGUAAGCCUGCGAAGGUGAGUUGAGAAGCUUGCUGGAGGUAUCAGAAGUGCGAAUGCUGACAUGAGUAACGACAAUGGGAGUGAAAAACUCCCACGCCGGAAGACCAAGGUUUCCUGCGCAACGCUAAUCGGCGCAGGGUGAGUCGGCCCCUAAGGUGAGACCGAAAGGUGUAAUCGAUGGGAAACGGAUUAAUAUUUCCGUACCUUGGAUAGCUGCGAUGGAGAGACGGAGAAGGCUAGGUGAGCUGGGCGACGGUCGUCCCGGUUUAAGCGUGUAGGGAGUGGGUUUAGGCAAAUCCGGAUCCACAAUUCUGAGACGCGACGACGAGCACCCUUAACGGGAGCGAAGUCAUUGAUGCCAUGCUUCCAGGAAAAUCUUCUAAGCUUCAGGCUAUUUGAGACCGUACCCCAAACCGACACAGGUGGUCAGGUAGAGAAUACCAAGGCGCUUGAGAGAACUCGGGUAAAGGAACUAGGCAAAAUGGUGCCGUAACUUCGGGAGAAGGCACGCCGGUGGUAUGUGACGCCCUUCGCGGGUUGAGCAGAAGCCGGUCGAAGAUACCAGGCCCCUGCGACUGUUUAUUAAAAACACAGCACUGUGCAAACUCGUAAGAGGACGUAUACGGUGUGACGCCUGCCCGGUGCCGGAAGGUUAAUUGAUGGGGUUAGCGCUUGCGCGAAGCUCUUGAUCGAAGCCCCGGUAAACGGCGGCCGUAACUAUAACGGUCCUAAGGUAGCGAAAUUCCUUGUCGGGUAAGUUCCGACCUGCACGAAUGGCGUAACGAUGGGGGCGCUGUCUCUACCCGAGACUCAGUGAAAUUGAAAUCGCCGUGAAGAUGCGGUGUAUCCGCGGCUAGACGGAAAGACCCCGUGAACCUUUACUAUAGCUUCACAGUGAACUUUGAACAUGUUUGUGUAGGAUAGCUGGGAGGCUUUGAAGCGGCGACGCCAGUCGUCGUGGAGCCAACCUUGAAAUACCAGCCUGGCAUGUUUGAGGUUCUAACUCCGUCCCCUUAUCGGGGAUGAGGACAUUGUGUGGUGGGUAGUUUGACUGGGGCGGUCUCCUCCUAAAGCGUAACGGAGGAGCACAAAGGUGGGCUAAGUACGGUCGGACAUCGUACGGUUAGUGUAAUGGCACAAGCCCGCUUAACUGCGAGACAGACACGUCGAGCAGGUACGAAAGUAGGUCAUAGUGAUCCGGUGGUUCUGUAUGGAAGGGCCAUCGCUCAACGGAUAAAAGGUACUCCGGGGAUAACAGGCUGAUACCGCCCAAGAGUUCACAUCGACGGCGGUGUUUGGCACCUCGAUGU
RNAcentral lists this non-coding RNA (2215 nucleotides) under Marinobacter antarcticus. RNAcentral describes it as "Marinobacter sp. ZS2-30 Bacterial large subunit ribosomal RNA". It matches the Rfam family "Bacterial large subunit ribosomal RNA", at positions 326 to 2532 of the family's 2925-position model. The record is from Rfam by way of RNAcentral. Lineage: Bacteria; Pseudomonadati; Pseudomonadota; Gammaproteobacteria; Pseudomonadales; Marinobacteraceae.